GACGAACGCUGGCGGCGUGCUUAACACAUGCAAGUCGAACGGAAAGGCCCUGCUUUUGUGGGGUGCUCGAGAGGCGAACGGGUGAGUAACACGUGAGUAACAUGCCCCUGACUUUGGGAUAACUUCAGGAAAAUGGGGCUAAUAUAGGAGAGGAGCUACUGAUGCGUGGUGGGGGUUGGAAAGAUUCGGCGGUUGGGGAUGGUCUCGCGGCUUAUCAGCUUGUUGGUGGGGUAGUGGCUUACCAAGGCUAUGACGGGUAGCCGGCCUGAGAGGGUGACCGGCCACAUUGGGACUGAGAUACGGCCCAGACUCCUACGGGACGCAGCAGUGGGGAAUAUUGCACAAUGGGCGGAAGCCUGAUGCAGCGACGCCGCGUGCGGGAUGACGGCCUUCGGGUUGUAAACCGCUUUCGCCUGUGACGAAGCGUGAGUGACGGUAAUGGGUAAAGAAGCACCGGCUAACUACGUG
RNAcentral lists this ribosomal RNA (468 nucleotides) under uncultured bacterium. RNAcentral describes it as "partial 16S ribosomal RNA". It matches the Rfam family "Bacterial small subunit ribosomal RNA", at positions 28 to 507 of the family's 1533-position model. The record is from RNAcentral.